Non-coding RNA from Doryrhamphus excisus (bluestripe pipefish), 3947 nucleotides. The record is from RefSeq and is a predicted model, not a curated record. Lineage: Eukaryota; Metazoa; Chordata; Actinopteri; Syngnathiformes; Syngnathidae.
ACUUCAAGGGGGGGACACUGAGAAACACAAAUAUACAACUUUCUUUACUAUUCUACUUAAAUGAAGCCAAAAAGACAAAACAAUAACCUGUGGUGCAUUGAAGAAGUCGGUGCCUUUGGACGCUCGUUGAAGGAUGCUGGCGUACAAACGCCUCCACAUUUCUAUAAUAACGUCUAACUAUUUUUUUAACUGAUCUAUCCACUUGUACACCUGUGGACAGAGAAUCCAAACAAUGGCAUAAGUGAGGAGACUAGGUCACCAGCGCUAUGUUUAUUUAAGCAAGUUUACGUAAAUAGAGGAAAGGUUAAAUGAUGUUUACAUUGGCAAGCCGCUAUCUCGUAUGAGCUAACGUCACGAUGCUAGCUGGCUAGCCCCGAUGUAACCGUGAAAUUAGUUAUUUGUAAACACAACAAGAGCGUAAUAACAGUACACGCUGCUAUUAUGGCGAUCGCGUAAUGUAUACCUGAAUAAAAAGACAACUACAAGACAAGUUAUUACCCAACCUUAAUAAAGUAUUGAAUGGGCUAAAAUCAAAGAUGGGCUCAUGUCAAUGACGUUUCACGCGGCGUCAGCGGUGACGAAGCUAAUCAGGAGUGCCUUGUCUGUGGGAGUUCAAACUACUGGAAGAAAUGGACACCAACAACCGCAAUGCCACAAAAACAGAUCUCAGUUUGCUACUGGAGUGUGUCAAGUUCCAGAUGAAUUGUCCUGAUUUGCAGAAGCAAGCUCUUAUCACCAUUAACUCCAUAUGUGAGAAGAGAGAGGACAAUGUGGACCUGCUGAGAGAAAUUGGAGGUGUGGCAUUUUUGUACAGCCUCUCCAAAUCCGGUAUAAUUCAUUCAGAUGUGAGGGUGAUGGCGCUUUUUACACUGGGCACACUAGCAGAAGCCAAUGUGUACUGCAAGAACUUUCUGUGUCGAAAAGAGACGUUCAUGGACCUUGGCGGAUACAUAAUGGAAGAAAACACCUCACUGAAACAAAAGAGUGUAUCUAUCUAUCUUCUGUCCGUGUUGGUAGCCAGCAACAAAGCAGGACAGACUUUAGCCCAAACCACUGGAUGUAUAGAAAUUCUACUGGACCUCUUCAGCUCCACGUUCCCUGUCUCAAACCAAGACUCUCCAAGAGACGUCAACACUGCACACAACCUACGUUUAUGGGUGUCAGUGUCAAGUGCCCUCUGUGGAUGUGUCAACAACCCUCAGAAUGACCUAGCCCAGAGUAUCUGCGUGUCGUCCUUUCCCGACAUAAAAAAGUGGCUUCAUCUGAUCUCUUUGCCCUGCGCUGAGGUCUUUCACCACCUUUGCUCCUUCAUUGCAAUGACAGUUGCUAACAAUGCAUAUGUUCAGGAACAUUUUGCCACUUCUGGGGUGUUGGAAACUCUCAUUUACGCACUGAUCCAACUGACCUCUGAAUCCGAAACAAGCACUUCGUCUUUUCACCUUUCAGUAACGAUAGCCAAGACCCUCUCGGCUUGUGUUGCUGAUAACUCAACCCUGGCUUCAGGUUUGGCCCAGUAUGGUGUAGUAUGUCAUCUCUUCACCCUGCUGGCUGUCCCAAACCUGGACUGCGAAGACAGGCUCACGGUACUCGUCAUGCUGGGUCACUGCACCGAGGCUUCUGAGGAGCACCAGUCUCAGUUGGUGCAGUGCGGAGGCCUGCCUCUCAUCAUCACUCUUCUUGCAGAAAACACCAGUGAGGAGGUCAGGAAGGCUGCAACGUUCAUAUUGCAGACCUGCAAACAGGCCAUCAUGUCCUUGGGAAUGCCUGGUGGGACAGCGCAACAACAACAAAAAGAUGACCAGGUUGUCACAGAAGAAGAGUUGGACCAUCUUUCUCCCCCUCCAGCCACACGAUUGCAGCAUGCAGACCAUUUUACACCAUUUCCUCCCACUUUUGGUGUUUUAAAAAUGCUGAAUGGCGUGAAUGCUAUGAAGGAGGAAGAAGGCAUUAAAAUGAAGAGUGUGAGUUUCUGUGUAAGAACUACAAAAGAAAAGGCUGAAACAAGCAAAGUGGAAAUUCAGUGCUCAGUGUGCAAGGGAACUGGAUCCCUCGUGCCUUCCCGUGGACGGCCACAGGAGGGAGACAGAGAUGUAGAUGCAGAAAACAGUCAUCCAUUGAAACAUGCAGCGUCCCAAGAACAAAAUGUAGCAGGAACAGUUAAAUGCAGUGAUGGAGAAAAGUUGCAGGACAGUGACAGGCUUGGGAAGGAACUCCCAGAGGAAGAACAAACCCGCUGUAAUGAAAGAUGCGCAGGUUGUGUGCUACCUUUUGAGAGAGUAACCAGUCGUAAUUUUUCGUCCCUCCUGUUGUCCUGCCAUCAAAACUGUGACAUGCACAGGGCUCUCCUCAAGGCCACAGAGCGCUUCAGGGCCAAUCACCACAGCUCUCUGUCUGGGAGACAGAACAACAAAAACGACAUAGUGGAUCCGACUGACCUAAAACCUGAGAGAGAGCCAGUAACACUGGAGAGCCGUGCAAACCGGGGGCCAGGGAAGAUUUCUUGUUUGAACUUUAUUGAAAAUAUCAGCCUGACUCCCACCUACAGAGGAGCCAAGUACUCGCUGCCAAGAUGCGGCUGGAAGAGGUAUAACGGGAUUACAUUGACGCCAAUAAGAAGAAACUUGAGCAGGAUGGAAACCUUGGACUUUUUGUGAGGACCAACAGUACCACAUUUUGGGGCAUCAAAUGUUGUCUUGGGUGUACUCCUGAUGUUUCUCCCUGUCUUUCUCUGCUGUGCAGUGCAGCAAAGCCAUAUACCCCACGUUGCUGAGAAAAAAUUCGUGCUAGAGGAACAGCAGUCUCAGUAGGCAAGGACAGACUUCCCGGUCCCCGGCCAUCUCUUGCAGUUCCACCAGAAGAACACUAUGGUCCUCCCAAGCCUACAGCAUUACUGUAGAUGCUGCGCCAAUCUGCCUGUUGACCUUGCAUUCCAAUCUUCUUUUACUCAUAAACAAGAUCCAAAGAUAAUUGAACCCCUCCACCUUGGGCAAGACUUCACACCCAACUCGGAGGGUGCAACUGACUGAGAACCAUGGCCACAGAUUUGGACAAAGUCUCAUCUUGGAAGCUUCACACUCGCAUGCAAACCACCCCAGUAAAUGCAGAAGGUCACAGCCUGAUGAGGCCAUCAGGACCACAUUGUCUGCAAAUAGAAGAGAUGAAAUUUUAAGGCCCUCAAACCGGGCCCCCUCGACAGCUUGCCUGUGCCUAGAAAUUCUGUCCGUAAAACAGAUGAACAGAAUCGUAAUGAAGGACAGUUUUGGCAGAGGCCAACGUUUACCAGGAACAUGCUCUACUUACUGCUGGCAAUGCAAACCAGUCUCUUGCUCUACCCUCCAGUAGUACAGAACUGGUCCAGUAUUCCACAAUUAUAGCCACAAUUUGACUAACCCUUGUCUCCAGGACUCUGGAAUAGACUUUCCCAGGGAGAGUGAGGAGUGUGAUCCCCUUCAUUUGGAACACAACUUUCAGUCACCCCUCUUGAAAAGGGGGACCACCUUGGUCUUCCAAUCCAGAGAUACUGUUCUCCACUUCCACACAAUGUUGAAGAGACGUGUCAACCAAGACAAUCCCUCAAGAUCUGCAUGCGUUGUACCUAGUGGGGCACUGACAGAUGCAAUUGAGGAGUUAUCCAAAAAUAAAAAAUGUGAAGAUGGCACAGAAAUGAAUUUCCACUUGGAAGUGGGCCAUGGGUGGAAUAGUUUCUUUCCAAAACAGACUGUUUUGGAAAAACUAGGAAAUACAGCUGGAAUAGGUGCAGAUUCUGUUACACCUAGAAAGUUUUCUGUGCGGGUUAUUGUGUGUAGCUGCUCUAUAGGAGUCCACAACUCAAUAGAAAAGGCCAAAAAACAAGCAGCAAGGUAUAUAUUUCUUACAAUACAAACUACAGAACCAACAAUAACCGCAUUGUUGUCAUGCAGCUCAACACAACAUAUCACCACAACACU